This 549-nucleotide long non-coding RNA is filed under the name Struthio camelus australis. RNAcentral's name for it is "lncRNA (ENSSCUG00000018581.1)". The record is from RNAcentral. Lineage: Eukaryota; Metazoa; Chordata; Aves; Struthioniformes; Struthionidae.
AGAAAAGUGAUGCAGGUACCAAAAUUAGAACGUGCAGAGUCUUAUUUUUACAUCCUUUUUGUUUGAUUUUCUUCUCCCCAUUGUUUUGUAUUUGCUUUUCCUUAAAGAUUGUUGCUCUUUUCAAAGCAGGCCUGGAAGAACUGACCAUUGAAAAGCUCCAGGCUGUUUGCGCAGAUACAUGGGACCCCACAAGUCCAAACACCAUAAGUAACAUCUGGAUAGAUAUGCUGCAGCUCACCCAUGAGGAGGUCAGGUGUGGAGAAAUGAGUGGAUCUGAGGGGAAUCACCUGAAGUCCCUCCUGUAUUAUCGCUUUGAAAAAGGACUAUGAGAGCUGAAUGCAGCAUUCCAGCUGAGGAAGUCUGUAUCCAUUCUACUGCAUACGGAGAGGGUAGUUCCACUGAAUCAUUCAUAAAUAGCUCUGUACCUUUUCCUCAUUAAUUAAAUUAAUUUAAAACCUAAGACUGUGGAACAAUAGUAGAAUUAUUUCACAUGUUGAGUUUAUAAGGAUAUUUCUUCUAAACAAUAAAAGCAUUUGAAAAUAUAGCUCA